AGACGAGGCGCCUUCGCUUCCCUAGCAACGAGCCCCGCCCUACCAAGGAACUGUGUUCCCCUGGCGGGAGGGGGGAACUGGAGGGCAGAUAAGGGAGCCCCAUGGGGGCGGGGGGGUAGAAAAGUCAAGGAUGUAACUGGGGGCAGCCAUUCUGGACUUGACUCUGAACAACAGGGAGAUGCAAAUCUGAAGGUUGAGGGCAAUUUGGGUGGAAGUGAUCAAGAAAUUAUAAAGUUCAUGAUUAUAAUGAAAGGAAGGAGUGAGAGUAUCAGAAUAAAGACUGUGGAAUUAAAAAAAACAAUUCUAGACCAAUCAGCCUAACUUUGAUUCCUGAUCCCUGUGACCGGAUGUCAUAAUCUCCCUCUCAAAGCAAGAGACAACAGCUAUGAAAUCAUAAAACACCAGCCCACGACAAGCUAAAGAAGACUGCCCCCAUCGGUGUUCUGUGUGCCAUGGUCAGCGCAGGUACUA
Molecule: long non-coding RNA, 471 nt
Organism: Mauremys mutica (yellowpond turtle)
Lineage: Eukaryota; Metazoa; Chordata; Testudines; Geoemydidae
Exons: 3
Source: RefSeq, a predicted model, not a curated record